UACAGAGGGGGCAAGCGUUAUUCGGAAUUAUUGGGCGUAAAGGGCGCGUAGGUGGCUUGGCAAGUGGAAGGUGAAAUCCCUCGGCUCAACUGAGGAACUGCCUUCCAGACUGCUUUGCUUGAGGCCGGGAGAGGCGAGUGGAAUUCCCAGUGUAGCGGUGAAAUGCGUAGAUAUUGGGAGGAACACCAGUGGCGAAGGCGACUCGCUGGACCGGUUCUGACGCUGAGGCGCGAAAGCUAGGGGAGCGAACAGG
This 253-nucleotide ribosomal RNA is filed under the name uncultured bacterium. Its description in RNAcentral is "partial 16S ribosomal RNA". It matches the Rfam family "Bacterial small subunit ribosomal RNA", at positions 524 to 776 of the family's 1533-position model. The record is from RNAcentral.